This 225-nucleotide ribosomal RNA is filed under the name Clostridioides difficile. Its description in RNAcentral is "partial 23S ribosomal RNA". It matches the Rfam family "Bacterial large subunit ribosomal RNA", at positions 1339 to 1560 of the family's 2925-position model. Lineage: Bacteria; Bacillati; Bacillota; Clostridia; Peptostreptococcales; Peptostreptococcaceae. The record is from RNAcentral.
GUAAACCCAAGGUUUCCAGGGGAAGGUUCGUCCGCCCUGGGUUAGUCGGGACCUAAGCUGAGGCCGAAAGGCGUAGGUGAUGGACAACAGGUUGAUAUUCCUGUACUACCGAUAACCGUUUGAGUGAGGGGAUGACACAGUAGGAUAAGCUAAGCACACUGUUGGUUAUGUGUGCCCAAGCAUUGAGGCAGUCAAAGUAGGCAAAUCCGCUUUGAUAAUGCUGGG